RNAcentral lists this transfer RNA (75 nucleotides) under Atopobium sp. oral taxon 416. RNAcentral's name for it is "tRNA-Val". It matches the Rfam family "tRNA". Rfam says of the family: Transfer RNA (tRNA) molecules are approximately 80 nucleotides in length. Lineage: Bacteria; Bacillati; Actinomycetota; Coriobacteriia; Coriobacteriales; Atopobiaceae. RNAcentral also lists the same sequence under 1 other name. The record is from RNAcentral.
GGGCGAUUGGCUCAGGGGUAGAGCACUUCCUUCACACGGAAGGGGUCGCUGGUUCGAAUCCAACAUCGCCCACCA